CGGGGCGUAGCGCAGCCCGGUAGCGCACCUGCUUUGGGAGCAGGGGGUCGCUGGUUCGAAUCCAGUCGCCCCGACCA
RNAcentral lists this transfer RNA (77 nucleotides) under Candidatus Amunia macphersoniae. RNAcentral describes it as "tRNA-Pro". It matches the Rfam family "tRNA". Rfam says of the family: Transfer RNA (tRNA) molecules are approximately 80 nucleotides in length. Lineage: Bacteria; Bacillati; Candidatus Dormiibacterota; Candidatus Dormibacteria; Candidatus Aeolococcales; Candidatus Aeolococcaceae. The record is from RNAcentral.